Rhipicephalus sanguineus (brown dog tick) is the source of this 1359-nucleotide long non-coding RNA. RefSeq lists it as uncharacterized. NCBI's taxonomy places the organism in Eukaryota, Metazoa, Arthropoda, Arachnida, Ixodida, Ixodidae. The record is from RefSeq and is a predicted model, not a curated record. The transcript is spliced from 3 exons.
UAAUACGGCCUUCCUCUGCAAGCGUGAACUAUGGGCAGAAGCUGUGCCUCUGAGGGAAGGAUGAGAAAUUAUAUCUUUAACGCAUUGGCCAUUCUGUUCGUAUUGGCCUAUUUUUUCAAGAAACAACCAAAUGAUGAACACAUUCUUGCUUCCCUUGGAUUUCCCGGGGCGACAGCGCUAGGACCGGCACUUCAGAGGCAGAAUACUAUCUCUCAGGAUGCUACAGGUCAUACGCAUCCACUAACUCGGCAACAACGUGUAGGAAGCAACGGCGAUCACUCUAAUAAUGCGGCAAGACGUUUCAGGAGGCAAAACGCUAUUCCCUAUGAUGAAGACGUAGUGAAGCAUACCAGAGGGCGCACCGAACGAGCUGCUCGUGGCAUCGAUCAUAAUGGACAAAGCGGAAGCAGGAAGAGGCGCAGAACAGGAUCGAAUUCAAGAAGACCCAGUAACAAGCGAAUGAGAGUAUAAGAACGGACGACCAGCGAACAACCGCCCUUUUGAAGACCCCCGGGUUCGGUGAGAAAAAAAUUCGGCAGAUCCCACGUACUGUGGAAGUCGAUGUUAUGCGAAGCAUGCGGCGGGAAGGUGACUGUGGCGUGAAUUUUUAAUGAGUGGCACGUUACAAAAUGACGCUAAGGAUUUGUGUACAUUUUAUACGCACAUAUAUAUGUUGAAGAGCCGCAUAUGUGCUAUAUAACCAGUUGUUUACGAUUGGGGAGCGCUGCCAAGGGCAACGUGGGUAUUACCAACACCAGAAGCGGUAAGCUGAUAUGUAGUGUUUACACUUGUUCCUUAUGAUGGAGAACGCACGCACGAUUCACGAACCCAUGUGAGUGUGUGCAAGAAGUUAUUGACAGUGCUUGAACAAGGUCAUCAUCACCGCGAUCAGUGAGCACCAGCAGCUGGUCAUGAGUUAUAGGAUCCAGUCGUGGUCGUGGUGACGAAGGACCAUGGGUAGUGAAGUAUGUGGUAUAGUAGAGCUGUUGGAAUUCGUGAAUGCCUCGGCCAUUUCGUCGACAAGUUGUCUGUCGAUAGAGCCGGCGGCAUGUCGGAACCUGAAGCCACCCUUCGCGUUGGUGAGGUAUAGGCCAUCGAGGCUGGUAGGCCUGGAUAGUGCUACGUAGACUAACAUCAGUGGAUGGCGCUUGUCGUAUUCGUAGACUACCUGGGCGUAUGUGGCCUACAUUGCCUAGUCUACAAAGCGGCUGUCAAUCAAUCUGGCAUCAUCCUCGGCCAGCAUGAGGCCAUCGCCCAGCCUCGUGGGAAAUCAAAAGGACACUGCGUCAUUCUGGCGGACAAAGUGCAUUUUACGGUGCGGAGAUGUGGAUAUCACAUGUAACUUUCGGUAAUGUAUUC